ACUUUCUCCAUCUACCAAGAUGAGGGAGUGAGUGGGAGGCGGGAAGACUGCCCCAAAUGAUCUCUAACAUCCCUUGCAGUAUCCAUCUUCCUCUUCCUCUUC
This 102-nucleotide microRNA precursor is filed under the name Rhinopithecus roxellana (golden snub-nosed monkey). RNAcentral describes it as "miRNA (ENSRROG00000008194.1)". Lineage: Eukaryota; Metazoa; Chordata; Mammalia; Primates; Cercopithecidae. The record is from RNAcentral.